AGAGUUUGAUCCUGGCUCAGAACGAACGCUGGCGGCACGCCUAACACAUGCAAGUCGAGCGCUACCUUCGGGUGGAGCGGCGGACGGGUUAGUAACGCGUGGGAACAUACCCUUUUCUACGGAAUAGCCUCGGGAAACUGAGAGUAAUACCGUAUACGCCCUUCGGGGGAAAGAUUUAUCGGUUAAGGAUUGGCCCGCGUUAGAUUAGAUAGUUGGUGGGGUAAUGGCCUACCAAGUCUACGAUCUAUAGCUGGUUUGAGAGGAUGAUCAGCAACACUGGGACUGAGACACGGCCCAGACUCCUACGGGAGGCAGCAGUGGGGUAUCUUAGACAAUGGGCGCAAGCCUGAUCUAGCGAUGCCGCGUGAGUGACGAAGGUCUUAGGAUCGUAAAGCUCUUUCGCCAAGGAUGAUAAUGACAGUACUUGGUAAAGAAACCCCGGCUAACUCCGUGCCAGCAGCCGCGGUAAUAAGGGCGAAUUC
RNAcentral lists this ribosomal RNA (482 nucleotides) under uncultured bacterium. RNAcentral's name for it is "bacterial SSU rRNA". It matches the Rfam family "Bacterial small subunit ribosomal RNA", at positions 8 to 536 of the family's 1533-position model. The record is from RNAcentral.